ACAAAAGUGAAAUUAGUGAUCGAUCCAUAGACUAAUGAUCAACGAAAAUACUAUUCCUGGUGGUUUUGAUGAGAAGUUGCCAGAGUUUCAUCCAUUUGCAUGCAUCGCAUGGGUGGCCGAGAGGUAAACAAAUCCUUUUCUAUGCCUGGAGAUACCCAUUGUAUUCCAGAUAACAAAUCACUUUCUCAGCCAUUGCAGAAGGGGAAGCAUAGAUUCCAUUGUCGCAUUUCAGUGUUAUCUCGCAAUUUGCA
This 251-nucleotide unclassified non-coding RNA is filed under the name Hevea brasiliensis (rubber tree). Lineage: Eukaryota; Viridiplantae; Streptophyta; Magnoliopsida; Malpighiales; Euphorbiaceae. The record is from RNAcentral.